AUGAACGCUAGCGGCAGGCUUAACACAUGCAAGUCGAGGGGUAAAUAGUUUUCGGAUUAUUGAGACCGGCGCACGGGUGCGUAACGCGUAUGCAAUCUACCUUUUACAGAGGGAUAGCCCAGAGAAAUCUGGAUUAAUACCUCAUAGUAUUGUUGACUGGCAUCAUUUAACAAUUAAAGUUCCAACGGUAAAAGAUGAGCAUGCGUCCCAUUAGUUAGUUGGUAAGGUAACGGCUUACCAAGACAAUGAUGGGUAGGGGUCCUGAGAGGGAGAUCCCCCACACUGGUACUGAGACACGGACCAGACUCCUACGGGAGGCAGCAGUGAGGAAUAUUGGACAAUGGGCGCAAGCCUGAUCCAGCCAUGCCGCGUGCAGGAAGAAGCAUCUAUGGUGUGUAAACUGCUUUUGUACGGGAAGAAACAUCACUACGUGUAGUGACUUGACGGUACCGUAAGAAUAAGGAUCGGCUAACUCCGU
RNAcentral lists this ribosomal RNA (478 nucleotides) under uncultured bacterium. RNAcentral describes it as "bacterial SSU rRNA". It matches the Rfam family "Bacterial small subunit ribosomal RNA", at positions 29 to 506 of the family's 1533-position model. The record is from RNAcentral.